This 448-nucleotide ribosomal RNA is filed under the name uncultured bacterium. Its description in RNAcentral is "bacterial SSU rRNA". It matches the Rfam family "Bacterial small subunit ribosomal RNA", at positions 355 to 825 of the family's 1533-position model. The record is from RNAcentral.
UGGGGAAUCUUGGACAAUGGGCGCAAGCCUGAUCCAGCCAUGCCGCGUGGAUGAUGAAGGCCUUAGGGUUGUAAAAUCCUUUCGUGGGGGACGAUAAUGACGGUACCCCAAGAAGAAGCUCCGGCUAACUUCGUGCCAGCAGCCGCGGUAAUACGAAGGGGGCUAGCGUUGUUCGGAUUUACUGGGCGUAAAGCGCGUGUAGGCGGGUCGUUAAGUUGGGGGUGAAAUCCCGAGGCUCAACCUCGGAACUGCCUUCAAAACUGGCGACCUGGACCUAAGUAGAGGCAAGUGGAAUUGCGAGUGUAGAGGUGAAAUUCGUAGAUAUUCGCAGGAACACCAGUGGCGAAGGCGACUUGCUGGACUUAUGGUGACGCUGAGACGCGAAAGCGUGGGGAGCGAAACAGGAUUAGAUACCCAUGUAGUCCCUGAGCGGGCUGGCAAGGCGCAU